AAUUACAAAAGAAAGAAAAAAGAGGAAAAAGUUAAUGAGAUUAUGGCUUUGGUUUUUGUAACAAAUCUGCAAGAUCAAGGGGCAACACUACGCCGCAGCAACAGGGACAAACAACCCCCUAAAUACUUGGACCAAUAUGUGGUCCCAAAUGCCAAGCAAGGUCCACCUGUGCUAGUAUCAGUAGCACCAGUAGCAGCAGGCAGUGCUGCCAGGAGCUCUGCAACAUAACUUAUCUAUAUAAUCAAAAGGUAUGCUACCAAGGAGGAUCAUGGAUGAAGUUGUCUUUUAAUUUCUUAGCUUUGUAAUAGUCUGAAAUCUCUCUCCAUUCUUGUUUUUUUUUUCUUUUUAGCUUAUCUACACUUUCAGUAAUUGUAAGUUAUUCUCUAUCUUUCAAAACAAGUUAGUUUGCUCCAGUUGUCACCAAAAGCAGAUAACAUUAUGGGUCCUACUUGAAUGCAAAAUAAGAAUCUAAUAAUAGAGGAGGAAGAAGAUAUUGGAUUCCCAGCAAUUCUCCGCUAAAUACUAAUCAAACUUUAUCUAUUAGAUUUGACAUGAUAUAUCAGAAAAGUGAAAAUUAGCGGAAACUCACAUUUCGAGGUAUAAUUUUACCAAUAUCUGCUUUCUUUAAUUUAUUUCUAGAUUCUGGUGCAACUUUGUGAGGUAUAAAUUUUAUUUUUUGCAUCUGACAUACUCAAAGACCAAAAUUAUUAAGUGCAUACUUAAGAAACUAUUUUGAAUGUAUCAUCAAAAACAUAAAGCUUCAUUUUUUUUCAUUUUCCCUUUUCACAACUUAUUCAAGCACAACGUUUGACUGAUGACAGCGGGUUGUCAAAGUUAUUUUUAACUGGCUCAAGUCAAACAGUUUCAACAAGGUGGCAUUUUAUUAACCAUGAUGAUUCGACUUGAAACUAUAGGUUCAUGCAUCAAUUUAGUGGGAUGUAUCCUUCAAAAUCAUGAAGAAUGGUAGACAAUAUGAUGCAAUAAUUUUCCAACAUCAUUGCUCUGAACUACUUAAUCCGUAUGCUACAUUGACCAUCCGCUUUACUUCAUAUUCACGAACUACUUCUACCAUGUAGAUUUACGUUAGAUAACUACACUUCUUCGGUAGAACUUAGUAUUGGCAGAGAGUAUUUGAGCUCUACAUCCCAAUGGAAGAACUGUUGCUCUACCACCAGAGCUACUUACAAAUAUUCCGGGAAAUAGUUCCCCUUUGGACCAUUUUUACUUCUUGAUCUGAGGCAAUUUACUGAUAGUUUCAAGGCUUUUGCAUCUACCUGUUUUGGCACAGGUUUCUUGCUUCACGCACAUUCAUCUCCAUAUGGUUUUUGGAAGCUACUUGUCAGCAAAGGCUAAGUUGUCCAAAAAAGUUGGCAGUCAUGUCACCUACCUCUACAAAGACAAAAACUAUACAGAUUCCAAUGUUCUUUCGGGAAUGUUUCUCAGGCCAAGAGUGUAGUUGUUCUGUUACAUAGAAAACAUGCACCAUUCAUAUGCAGUGUCACCAGUUCUGUUCUGAAAUACCAUGUUCUCAUUUUGUACUGCAAAAAUAAUCAAAUCCAAAAAACUGGAACUUGUUAAAACCACUUAUAAGUAAUCAAAUUAUACAUAUAAUUACUUUAUCACAUAUUCCUAAUCCAAAAUGAUCACAAAAACUUGCAGCAUUUCUUUUUUAAACUCCUCAACUAGCCUUCCAUUAUUUCCUGUUACCAGAAGAUAAUCAACAUAAAGAGACACAUUUACAUAAAGAGUGGAUUCAGAUAAGUUUUUUUAAAAACCCAAACUUAACAGCUAUACCAAGCACUUGGCACUUGUUUUAGGCCAUAAAAAGCCUUUUUUAGCAAAUAGAUUUUAUCUUUAUCACCAUGUUUCACAAAUUCUGAUGGUUGCUCGACAUAUAUUUCCUCCUUUAGUAUGCCAUUUAAGAAGGCUGAUUUGACAUCAAGUUGGAACACUUUCCAUUUCAUUUGUGUUGCUAUUGUGAGCAACAAUCUGAUUGUGUCUUAUCUUGCAACAGGAGAGAAAGUGUAAGAGAAAUCAAAUCCAAAAAUUUGUGCAUACCCUUUCACUACAUGCCUUGCUUUAUGCCUGUUGAUUGAACCAUCAACAUUUAGCUUGGUCCGAA
Molecule: long non-coding RNA, 2122 nt
Filed under: Capsicum annuum
Lineage: Eukaryota; Viridiplantae; Streptophyta; Magnoliopsida; Solanales; Solanaceae
Description: long non-coding RNA (CANN_LNC019735)
Source: RNAcentral